Daphnia magna is the source of this 1503-nucleotide long non-coding RNA. RefSeq lists it as uncharacterized. The record is from RefSeq and is a predicted model, not a curated record. NCBI's taxonomy places the organism in Eukaryota, Metazoa, Arthropoda, Branchiopoda, Diplostraca, Daphniidae. The transcript is spliced from 2 exons.
UUUCCGACAUAAAACUAACUCCCAUUUAAAUUCUGAGAAAAUAUUACACAAUGUCUUAAAUGAACAUUAUUGGGAAAACAGUGAUGAAUAUCAUUUGACUUGACUAUAAAACAAAUAACUUAAUUAAAUGUUUAAAAUUUCGUAUUACUUUCAAGCACUCACGAAUUAGGGUGUGGCAUCACGCAUCAAGACCGUUAACGACAUGCAAGAAUCCUCCAUAUCGCCUUGCGGCCGAUGUUGGCACUAAUUGGCUCACGCAUUGUUUAAGUGUUAUUCCAGUUGUCGGAAAUAAAAUUAUUCCAGUUGUCGGAAAUAAAACAAUCUAGGAUCGUCACUACCAAAUUCUAGCAUUUAUAGUCAAUGUUAAUUCCAAUCUUGACGUCACGUAUCACGUUAAUUCAUUAACUCAUUAAAGUACAUAUUCACUUUUUUCCUUCAAACUGGUGAAAAUUCAAAGCAAAAAAGCGCAUGUGCGAUCAGUUGAGAAUAGUCUGUUUUUCUCUGGUUACGUGCCUUUAAAUCGCAAUUGCCAAACGCCAAAAGGGAAGAGAAUCACAAGGAAAUGUGAAAACGUCACUUAAGGUGGGGUAAGAAUAAUAUAGCCCUUGUAAUUUUCAACGUCAUAGGCUAGUGGCGAGCAUUAGGGGGACACAAAUUCUUAUAAAAUGAAGACAAAUCAAAAUUGGAACCAGUCGAGUGGACUCAUCGAUCGGCAACGGUAGGAAGGAGAGUGUCACACUCACACAGCCGUUCACUAUCCAGUCCACAUAAUCUUACAGUCAUGGUCCUAAACAAAAUGAACCAAUUGAACCACGUUCGACUAACUACCCGCGUUCUUCCGAAGACAAAACAAACUCUGCAACGACUCUCUCCAACAUUAACGAGACGAUGGAGUCACCGAAACUGCAUCUUGUGCAGCUUGAUACUCGAAUCGCCUCAAUGUGUCCCCCAUAACGGUCAAAAUGUAGAGAGUCGCGACACUGCCAGGAUUACAGAGAUCACUAGUUCAAGAGAGAGCAUUGCUUUGGAUGCCUUGCUUCUUCGGACCACGGGUAAUCGUCUGAAAGGAGUAAAUUUAAUUAUUUCUGAAAUUUGAAACAAGAAUGCAGCCAGGAUAGCAUGAGCCAGGGACGAGACAAAAUUAUUCAGUGAAAAAACCGUGCUGGUUGUUACACCGCUGUUUCUACUUUACGCAUUCGAAAGGCAACCUUCUGCAGCCAUCGUUUAAAUCUGAAUCCACCUUUCUUCUUGGUGAUAUCUGCGUUCUUUUGUAUAACGUCCGUGCUGCAGAUCGGGUUAAUCUUCUUUGCUUCAGAAAUGCCGCUGGCCUCCGUUACGACCUCCUUCAAUGCAGUGGUGUUUGCCUUAUUUUGUGUGCUGAGGUCAGCACUGGCUGGAUCUGGACUGUUGGUCGUCCACACCCCCAAAUUUCAAGAUGGUUUUUCUUUGCUUUAUUUUUUCAAUCUUCGAGACAUGCAUUUUUAAUAAACCUUUUUGCUCAUA